UCUGGGUUGGUGCCCUGCUCCAGGGGAAAGGUAUGUGAUAUGCAAAAGACGACAAACCAUGAAAUAUAAUCCAACACUUCGGACUUCAGGGAUUCUGAAAAUGAGCAACUAUUUAGGAGCAGCAAAAAACCCAUCAUUUCUCUAAAGAACAUGGUAAAUUUCUUUUGAAAUAGGAAAUAUGCAAACACGUACUUUCUCCGCUCCACAAAGGGAUUGCAAAUCUUUGUCUGCUCAAAUCUGCGUUUAAGAAACUCGAAGGGUUUUCUCUUUAGAGGAAAUAAAUACAACACUGGCUAGAUCCCAAGGUCAGGGGAAUGCCCAGAACGUCUUGGCCACCGGCCGGCGUCCUCUGCGUCCCCACACGGAGCCCCGCCCUCCCCGCACCGUGUGUCUCUUAUCUCAGAAGCGGAACUGCGCGUGCGCCGCCGGCGGUUGCGUUACGUAUGUUUUCGCGCCGUGGGCUUCGGGGCUGGCCCGAUACCAGGUACAACCAACCAGACGCGGAGGGCAAGUUGGGAUUCUAAGGAAGUUGCUCGGCUCCUGCGCAUUACUGGCCUUUCCGGCCUCACGGGAUGGUCCAGAGCCGCUGGACCUCAGCUAGCCGGUCUUCGCCUGGAGGCUCCCGCCGCCGUCGCUGCCUCUUCUCCGCCGCUUCGGACUCGGCCACCGGCGCAGCGAAGCGCCUGCUCUGACAGCCCCGGCUCAGUACUCCGCGCCCGCCGGGAGGCUGCUUUCGGGACAGCCAGGAUAAGGAAAUUGCUUCAUCUGUGAUCUUGUUACCUGAAAGAAGAAGCCUGUGGAGCUGGGUGAAGAAUGCAGAUACCCUCAGGUCCCAGGUGUGGCACAGGGAGAACUGGUCCAGUCUAGGCAGCUGGGAACCUAUCUUGCAUAUCCAUAAAUCACAAAUAAGGAUUUCAACUGUUGCCUGGCCGUGUGGAUCAAACAUUACUUCCCUGCCUCCAGACUGCCUAGUGGUACUGCUUCCACUCUUACCUUAACUGGUUUCUUGGGCUCAGAGAGGACAUUCACUUAACUUCUAUAAUCUGGAGCCAGGAAAUGGUGAGUACUACAGAGAACUGGGUAAUUCUUAGCGUAAGGAGGCGAGGCUAAAUAUGAUAUGGUGGGGGAUCAGCUGUGUACUCCAGGCUGUUUCUUCUGAGGUCAAAGGUGGUAGAAGAGGCCAAGUGACUAAAUCCUAAGAGGCAUCCUAAGGCCCUGCUCCACUGUCACAGGGCCUUUACACAAUUUUUAAGCCUUGGAUGCCUGGGGUCACCUUCCAUAUAUGACUCUCAGAGCAGAGCCUGAAGAUGAGCAGCUCUGGCUGAGGAGGCUGAGCCCCAGGCCCUCCAGAGCCAUCCUGUGUCAUCACUGCAAAGUGUUCUUAGCUUCCCUGAGGCACUGCAGCCUUUUCUGUGCAAUUCUAAAACAGCAGCUUCAUCUCUCACACUGUGUUGGGUAAAGAAAGGGAGAGAGAUUUGCAACACAGGGAUUAUCAAGUUAAUUAACUUUUGCUUUGUAAUGGGUAUGAAAUGGUAUCUUAACUGAAUUUUAUUCUGCAGUUACCUUACACUACUACAGUACUGACAGGGCUGUACAUAGUCUUGCAAUGUUAUUUCAUCUUUCUGUGACUAUUUUGGGCUUCUUUAUAGAGUCUGGAAAUAAACUGUUGUUUUCGUUGUUAGGUGCCAUUGAGUCA
Trichechus manatus latirostris (Florida manatee) is the source of this 1696-nucleotide long non-coding RNA. RefSeq lists it as uncharacterized. The transcript has 3 exons. Lineage: Eukaryota; Metazoa; Chordata; Mammalia; Sirenia; Trichechidae. The record is from RefSeq and is a predicted model, not a curated record.